RNAcentral lists this ribosomal RNA (442 nucleotides) under uncultured Parcubacteria group bacterium. RNAcentral describes it as "bacterial SSU rRNA". It matches the Rfam family "Bacterial small subunit ribosomal RNA", at positions 338 to 795 of the family's 1533-position model. The record is from RNAcentral.
CCUACGGGUGGCUGCAGUCAAGAAUAUUCCUCAAUGGCCGAAAGGCUGAAGGAGCGACGCCGCGUGUAUGAAGACGCCCCUCGGGGUGUAAAGUACUUUUAACUGGGAAGAACAAAUGACGGUACCAGUUGAAUAAGGGGCUGCUAACCUCGUGCCAGCAGCAGCGGUAAUACGAGGGCCCCAAGCAUUAUCCGGAUUCAUUGGGCGUAAAGCGUCCGUAGACUGUUUGUCGCAUCUCCUGUUAAAUCACGAGGCUCAACCUCGUGGCCGCGGGAGAGAUGGAUAAACUAGAGACUGGAAGAGGCAAGCAGAAUUGCUGGUGUAGGGGUUAAAUCCGUUAAUAUCAGCAAGAAUACUCAAUGCGAAGGCAGCUUGCUAGGACAGUUCUGACGUUCAAGGACGAAAGCGUGGGGAGCGAAUGGGAUUAGAUACCCCAGUAGUC